This 581-nucleotide long non-coding RNA is filed under the name Mus spicilegus (steppe mouse). Its description in RNAcentral is "lncRNA (ENSMSIG00000020804.1)". Lineage: Eukaryota; Metazoa; Chordata; Mammalia; Rodentia; Muridae. The record is from RNAcentral.
GGUCAUUAACAGGCCCACACUCUCAGUGUCUGAGACCAGCUUCUUGUUCUGUCCUCAAGCACCGUUUAGAUGUUGGAUUUCCACUUGCUGCUUCUGGAUGUCCCUGGCUUCUACUGGAUAACUAUAAGUAUGUGUGCUAUAAGUAUGAGUCCCCUCAGUCCAUUCCACCAGUGGGUGAUGCCCCCUGAGCAGUUGUCUAUUAGAUAGCAACUCAGCCAUGCCUCCUAUAUUGCAUUAUCUUUGUCGGGUAGCAAGACUCGUCUAAACCAAUGAGUUCAAUCAAUUGCAUGUUAUUUAGCGUAUCGCUCUUUAGACUGGACCGAAACACGCAGUUCUGACCACAGUGUGCUCAUUCCUUCUUAUGCUACCGACUGCCCGGAGGACCAGUGCAGGCUGAGGACCAGUGCAGGCUGAGGACCAGUGCAGGCUGAGGACCAGUGCAGGCUGGUUAGUGCGGGCUUUUAAAAGCGUCUUUCAUUUUGAAUUAUUUUUAUUAUUACCUAUUUUUAAUUUCUCUUAACUUUGGAGAUUAUAAUACAAUUACAUCAUUUCCCUCUUUCUUUCAUCCUUCCAAAUCCUCC